RNAcentral lists this ribosomal RNA (399 nucleotides) under uncultured bacterium. Its description in RNAcentral is "bacterial SSU rRNA". It matches the Rfam family "Bacterial small subunit ribosomal RNA", at positions 359 to 776 of the family's 1533-position model. The record is from RNAcentral.
GAAUUUUGCGCAAUGGGCGAAAGCCUGACGCAGUAACGCCGCGUGGAGGAUGAAGGCUCUCGAGUCGUAAACUCCUGCCUGGGGGAAAGAUGAUGACGGUACCCCCAAAGAAAGCCCCGGCUAAUUCCGUGCCAGCAGCCGCGGUAAUACGGAAGGGGCAAGCGUUGUUCGGAAUUAUUGGGCGUAAAGGGCGCGCAGGCGGUCUCAUAUGUCUGCUGUGAAAUCACACGGCUCAACCGUGUUCAGCCGCAGAAACUGUGAGACUUGAGGCUGGGAGGGGCUGGUGGAAUUCCCCGUGUAGCGGUGAAAUGCGUAGAGAUGGGGGAGAACACUCGUGGCGAAGGCGGCCAGCUGGACCAGUUCUGACGCUGAGGCGCGAAAGCGUGGGGAGCAAACAGG